RNAcentral lists this ribosomal RNA (193 nucleotides) under uncultured eukaryote. RNAcentral describes it as "partial 18S ribosomal RNA". It matches the Rfam family "Eukaryotic small subunit ribosomal RNA", at positions 1 to 197 of the family's 1831-position model. The record is from RNAcentral.
UAACCUGGUUGAUCCUGCCAGUGUAGUCAUACGCUUGUUUAAAAGAUUAAGCCAUGCAUGUCUAAGUGUAAGUGUUUUACUGCGGGACUGCGAAUGGCUCAUUAGUGCAGUUCUUUUUGAUUUGUGCAAAGUUAGAGGUUAACACUGGUAAUUCUAGUGCUAAUACUUGGUGUUAUUGCCUAAUUUGUUAAUU